Molecule: ribosomal RNA, 162 nt
Filed under: Plukenetia corniculata
Lineage: Eukaryota; Viridiplantae; Streptophyta; Magnoliopsida; Malpighiales; Euphorbiaceae
Also listed under: 1 other name
Description: 5.8S ribosomal RNA
Rfam family: 5.8S ribosomal RNA
About the family: 5.8S ribosomal RNA (5.8S rRNA) is a component of the large subunit of the eukaryotic ribosome. It is transcribed by RNA polymerase I as part of the 45S precursor that also contains 18S and 28S rRNA.
Source: RNAcentral
AACGACUCUCGGCAACGGAUAUCUUGGCUCUCGCAUCGAUGAAGAACGCAGCAAAAUGCGAUACUUGGUGUGAAUUGCAGAAUCCCGUGAAUCAUCGAGUUUUUGAACGCAAGUUGCGCCCGAAGCCCUUGGGCCGAGGGCACGUCUGCCUGGGUGUCACGC